This 690-nucleotide long non-coding RNA is filed under the name Sus scrofa (pig). RNAcentral's name for it is "lncRNA (ENSSSCG00030035552.1)". Lineage: Eukaryota; Metazoa; Chordata; Mammalia; Artiodactyla; Suidae. The record is from RNAcentral.
CUUUUCCAUUAUGAUUCACCUCAGGAUAAUGGAUCAUAUUUCCCGGUGCUCUAUCAUAGGACCUUGCUAUUUAUCCCUGCCAUGAGAUGAAGCAUUUUAAAUACAGACAUAAUUUCUGUGUGAUUUUUAUUAGAGCUUAGUUGGGAAUGGUUCAGACACCUCUCACCCAAAUGCAUUUUUUAGGAACUAGGAACGCAAACUUUCUGUGACCUGGGGACAGUCUGUCCCAGUAACAGAAGCUGGGGGUGAAAGUGAUGGAUCUCUUCUCCAUGGGCGCCCUUUAAGCCUCAUGGGCUUGGAGGGAUCAAGGAGAAUUCAGCCUGAUCCUUAGACUGUUGAGUUCUUUACAAGAACUGAGCAUGACGGUUAUUUAAAUGUCAACGGAAAAAAACGGGUUCUGUCUCAACAACACGAACUUUCUCCUUUCUUCCCUUUGGCCCAGGAAUUGCAACCGUGCCGAACGCCACCUUUAAUUGGAACACCUUUCUUCAGCAUUCAGAGAUUAACCAAAGUGCUGACAGUCUACACGUGUUUCUCCUGAUCUGUGGACUCAGACAAGUGAAAGACCCUCUCUACUUGGUGGAGGCAUUCUCGGAAUGGCAUCAGGAAGAGCCCAACGUUUACAUGGUAAUCGUCGGUCCUGAAGUCGAUCCAGUGUUCACAAGGGAAGUCAAAGCCAAAGUCAAGAGG